AGCAACUUCUUAGCAGUCACGCACAAAACACGAAGCAUUACUGAAUAUUCUUUAGAAGGAGUAAGUUUCAUAAUUUUCAGCUUAGAACUCGCAUCUGUGCCGUUGGACAGAGCUAUGCAUGAGAAGGGUUAAGCAAUUACAAAAGAUGAUUGGUUCGAAAACAGUAGAUGGAAACCACUGCCUGACGAUCGCCGAACGAGUACUGUCAUCACGUCUGCAUUGAAUGUGUCGCUGAUCCGAUCACGGCUCUCUCCCCCGGUUGCAAAUGUUGGGAAAAAACAGAAAUUACAAUUUUCUCAGAGGCUUGGAAUACAUUUUGAUCUCACCGCACUGCCAAGAUUUCGCUCAACUGUUGAUCGCACAGUCUAAUCAAGCCUUCCGAUGAGGGCAGACUUGUAACGGUUUAUACUAUCAGUCACUGUAACUCACAAGCGGCUGCCUAUGAUGUAAUCAGCGACCGGGCCAGCAAAGGGACCAUAAGGCAAACGAUAGAGCUGAUUGACGAAAUGCUACGUCACAGAUUAUACAACGACCAAUCAAUAAAUCAAUCAAUCAAUCAAUGGACCACGUGGAAGAGGGGAACUCACUCACCUGAGACAGACGUACUCGAGUACCACGCCCAGUCCUAUGACCACAACCUUACAAGUCUCAGACAUUUUGGUUAAACAAAGAAAGUAAACACUAAUUGGAGUUCCAAUCAUCAUGGACAGAAUCAGCGUUGUCUGAAUCCAAUGCCUUGAGCGCCAAAAGAGGAAUAUAAUUUCAAUUACAUAACUAAGCUAUAGACCGCACUUUUAAUCGUUUUAUCAGCAUAAUAACCCACAUAGGAUGCUAAGAGAACACGAGAAAAGUUUGUAAAACACAAGCCGGAGGCGAGCGACUCACAAACUUCCUAUGGGCUUACCGGUUUUAUAAACGAUAGAUUUCGACUAAUCAGGGCGCUCGUAGUAUCUGACUAAUUUUAUAACCUGUGCUUGUUCUGUCAUAGUGAGCGGUUUCAAAUGCCCUUCAAGAUUAACAUUUGGAAAAAAAAGAAAAGGUUUUCGUAAAAGGGUAAGUGGUUGACAAUCAGUGGAGCUGCUUUUGCUUUCCCUUCUAAUCGUAAAUCGAGCUAAUUUUAAUGGCAGGUUUAUGCUCGCUCUCAGAUUUUCUUCAAUUCAUGUGCUAGAAAAAUAUUGGAAAAUUAAUCGAAGACGAGGAAUAUCACCCUAAAAAGCAACUAACAAUUGAAUAACCGAGAGGUUUCUCUUGGGCUGUUAAUAAUGGGAGCAAAAGAUAGGAGCAGAACAACUUAAAUAAUUUCCUACCUGACAGUAAGACCACUCGGUAACCACUUUCUUCCUGUUUCCAAUUUGUACUGUCGAAGCAGAUAGACAGCGGUUACGAUACCAUCAAUGACCGUAAAACACCACGUCUACAUUAUUACAGGGGUUUACAAUUCGCCACCACUGAGAGUCAAAUCUCCACCGGUGGCGAUUUG
Molecule: non-coding RNA, 1480 nt
Organism: Pocillopora verrucosa
Lineage: Eukaryota; Metazoa; Cnidaria; Anthozoa; Scleractinia; Pocilloporidae
Source: RefSeq, a predicted model, not a curated record